CUGCCAAUCCACGAUAAACUUUAUACAUUGUACAUAUAGUCGACAUACAUAUACAUACAUAUAUACACAUAUACAUAUGCAUAUAUACGUAUAUUUUUAAUAUGCCAAAAACAAAAAAAGCAAAGCGAAAAUCAAGUUAUAGUCCUUAAGAAGAAAGAGCAGAAAACGAACAACAGCAAAAUAAGAAACGCAAUAAAAGUAAAUUUAAGUCCACGAAUGGGCAGCACUGUUGUGCCGCAAAUGGGCAGCACUCUUUUUGGCGCAAAAUCAAACUACAAAAACGCAAAAUCAAACUACAAAAAAGACAAGCAAAAGCAGUAAAAUAAAAAGCAAAAAAUACAAUAUGUGGUUCUGGGGAAACAAAGCAUUAACUUUCAAAAAUGACACAAAAUGAUAAACAAAAUGAAUACAACUAACGUUUAAUUGUAGACAAAUUUUAAGUUACACGAAAACAGGCAAACAGCGAAGCAAGUUUUGGCAAGCCGAAUGUUCAAUACUCUUUUCUCGGAGAAGAAGAAGAAACAUUUCAAUAUGAAAUGCAUUUGUAAUUAAUUAAUUAUUAUUCAUGCGAACUUAAAUUUUUUCAACAACAACAACAACAAACAAGAACAAAAACAAGAAGCAUCAAAUCUUGCAAUAAAUAUAUUAUUAUUAACAAUUAAAAAUCAAGCAAAACAACAACCACAAAACGGAAACGAAAAUGAACAAAGAAAAUCAAGUUGAAGCAAAAGACGCAGACGCUGAAAAAGAAGAAGAAGAAGCAUAGUUAAUAAUAUUAUAUUUUGUUAAGCGUUAUUGUAGUGCAAAAUAUAAGCAUAAAAACAAACGAGCAGACGAAAAGAAAACAAAAAACAACAAAUGAAUUAAGUUUUAAGCUGGAUAUUCUAAUAUAAAUAAAACAGCAAGAAGA
This is a long non-coding RNA of Drosophila sulfurigaster albostrigata, 910 nucleotides long. RefSeq lists it as uncharacterized. Lineage: Eukaryota; Metazoa; Arthropoda; Insecta; Diptera; Drosophilidae. The record is from RefSeq and is a predicted model, not a curated record. The transcript has 2 exons.